This 232-nucleotide long non-coding RNA is filed under the name Setaria viridis. Its description in RNAcentral is "long non-coding RNA (SVIR_LNC008173)". Lineage: Eukaryota; Viridiplantae; Streptophyta; Magnoliopsida; Poales; Poaceae. The record is from RNAcentral.
GGUAGGGUUACAGAUCGAUUGGUUACAAGAAUACUAGUCGGAUACGCCUAGAAGAGCUCUACUCUUAUUACAAUGAGUAUUUUCCUAAUCCUCGACUAGUUCCUGUCUUUCUAUGUAGACUACGUCAUCCUGCGCUAUAGUUUCCAUGUCGGAUGCAUCUCGGUGUCCAACCCCAUAUUUAGAACUGUCCAAACCUUCUGGUGAGCCUAUAGAUGUAUGUACGACAUUCAUG